UUGAGUGGCUUCUGCUGUCGCUGCAGUGGUCUGUUAACACCAGGCCCCUCCUCCUCGGGGACUGCCACCCUUCCCCUCCCAGGCUGCAGGCUCUGAGGCCUUCAGACCAGGGCACCCUUGGAUGUGGUGGCCAGGCCUCCAGGGGCCACGCCCUCCAGUGAGCAACACAGAUGAAGCGGCACUUAGGAAGUAACUGCAGACAGUGCGUGCUGAGCGAGAGCUACUGGCGUUGUUGAACCGCAUUCUCACAAGAACUCUAUGAUGGGACUGAAGAAGAUGUACUCUGUGCUCAGAUCCACCAGACAAAGAAAGACAUAUCAGCCAAGGAGGGGAAGGAUGAAAAUUGGUGUUCGGCUAUUCAUUCACGUACGUGUGGUUCAUCUCCAAGGCUCCUAAGAAAGCAGCAGCACACCAAAUCUCUUCCAACACCGUCUGUAUCAGAGCCUCCUGUGAGAUAAUCCUCUUAAUGGAAUAUUUAAGAAAUCGGAUAUAAAUCACCAAGCUUUUAUCUCACCUGAAGAUUCAUACUCCAUGGGAUGUGUGGUAUAUAUGUCUAUCUCCAUAUAGAUGGUUGCAGAUGCCUUUUUGAGAGAAUGUUGCCAUGUUUUUAGGCUCAAUAUGUUUUUUCAAUAUCUAAAUCUAUUUCUUUUCUAGAGAUAUGGGAGCAAAAAUAUAAAUUUUCGAGAUCAGAGCCCAGAAAAUAGAUGCACCUAGAGACAUUUCUAAAUUAAAACACACAUCCCUGGGAAAAACCUUUUUUGUCAUUGGCAACCAACAAAAACCCCUAUUGUUAUGACGAGCUCGUAAAUAACUUGACUUUGGCAUAUGCUUUUGUACCAAACAGAAGAUGAAUAAAUUAAAUUUGAUUUACAA
Equus quagga is the source of this 873-nucleotide long non-coding RNA. RefSeq lists it as uncharacterized. The record is from RefSeq and is a predicted model, not a curated record. The transcript has 3 exons. Lineage: Eukaryota; Metazoa; Chordata; Mammalia; Perissodactyla; Equidae.